AGCUUUGCGCAGUGGCAGUAUCGUAGCCGAUGAGGUGAACCCGAGGCGCGAUUAUUGCUGAUUGAAAACUUUUCCCAAUACCCCGCCAUGACGACUUGAAAUACAGUCGGCAUCGGCAAUUUUUGAGAGCCUCUCCGGAGG
Cairina moschata (Muscovy duck) is the source of this 141-nucleotide small nuclear RNA. Its record names the gene U4. It matches the Rfam family "U4 spliceosomal RNA". From Rfam's summary of the family: U4 small nuclear RNA (U4 snRNA) is a component of the major U2-dependent spliceosome. The structure of U4 snRNA from yeast and human has been reported. U4 snRNA presents a k-turn RNA motif in the 5p-SL related to recognition of Snu13 protein. NCBI's taxonomy places the organism in Eukaryota, Metazoa, Chordata, Aves, Anseriformes, Anatidae. The record is from Ensembl.